AGAGUUUGAUCCUGGCUCAGGAUGAACGCUGGCGGCGUGCCUAAUACAUGCAAGUCGAACGGGAGCACAUGUGCUCCAGUGGCGAACGGGUGAGGAAUACAUAGGUAACCUGCCCCUCCGAGGGGGACAACAGCUGGAAACGGCUGCUAAAACCGCAUAGGCAUGCUCUUCGCAUGAAGAGGAUGUCAAAGAGCCUUAUGGGCUCGCGGGGGGAUGGACCUAUGCCGCACUAGCUAGUUGGCGGGGCAACGGCCCACCAAGGCGACGAUGCGUAGCCGGCCUGAGAGGGCGGACGGCCACACUGGGACUGAGACACGGCCCAGACUCCUACGGGAGGCAGCAGUAGGGAAUUUUCGGCAAUGGGCGAAAGCCUGACCGAGCAACGCCGCGUGAGUGAAGAAGGCCUUCGGGUCGUAAAGCUCUGUUAUGAAGGAAGAACGUCCAUCAUAGGAAAUGAUGGUGGAGUGACGGUACUUCAUGAGAAAGCCACGGCUAACUACGUGCCAGCAGCCGCGGUAAUACGUAGGUGGCGAGCGUUAUCCGGAAUCAUUUGGGCGUAAAGAGGGAGCAGGCGGCGAUAGAGGUCUGCGGUGAAAGCCUGAAGCUAAACUUCAGCGAGCCGCGGAAACCAGAUGGCUAGAGUGCGGUAGAGGAUCGUGGAAUUCCAUGUGUAGCGGUGAAAUGCGUAGAUAUAUGGAGGAACACCAGUGGCGAAGGCGACGAUCUGGGCCUGCACUGACGCUCAGUCCCGAAAGCGUGGGGAGCAAAUAGGAUUAGAUACCCUAGUAGUCCACGCCGUAAACGAUGGUCACUAAGUGUCGGGGGGUCAAACCCCGGUGCUGCAGUCAACGCAAUAAGUGACCCGCCUGAGUAGUACGUUCGCAAGAAUGAAACUCAAAGGAAUUGACGGGGGCCCGCACAAGCGGUGGAGCAUGUGGGUUUAAUUCGAAGCAACGCGAAGAACCUUACCAGGUCUUGACAUACCUUCAAAGACCCCGGAGACGGGGGGAUAGCUAUGGAGGAUACAGGUGGUGCAUGGGUUGUCGUUCAGCUCGUGUCGUGGGAUGUUGGGUUAAGUCCCGCAACGAGCGCAACCCUUGUCGUCAGUUGCCAGCAUUCAGUUGGGGACUCUGGCGAGACUGCCUCUGCAAGGAGGAGGAAGGCGGGGAUGACGUCAAAUCAUCAUGCCCCUUAUGACCUGGGCCACACACGUGCUACAAUGGCCGGUACAGAGGGCAGCUACACAGUGAUGUGAUGCGAAUCUCGAAAGCCGGUCUCAGUUCGGAUCGGAGUCUGCAACCCGACUCCGUGAAGUUGGAUUCGCUAGUAAUCGCAGAUCAGCCAUGCUGCGGUGAAUACGUUCCCGGGCCUUGUACACACCGCCCGUCAAGCCAUGGAAGCUGGGGGUACCUGAAGUUCGUGACCGCAAGGAGCGACCUAGGGCAAAACUAGUAACUGGGGCUAAGUCGUAACAAGGUAACC
This 1482-nucleotide ribosomal RNA is filed under the name uncultured bacterium. RNAcentral's name for it is "bacterial SSU rRNA". It matches the Rfam family "Bacterial small subunit ribosomal RNA". The record is from RNAcentral.